Non-coding RNA from Myotis lucifugus (little brown bat), 75 nucleotides. NCBI's taxonomy places the organism in Eukaryota, Metazoa, Chordata, Mammalia, Chiroptera, Vespertilionidae. The record is from Rfam.
GGCGGUUCUCAGGUGACGCACCUCAGAAUCAGGCUCCCUCCUCUCUGGUUCCAGGUGCGUCACAUGAGAACCACC